AGCAGCCGCGGUAAUUCCAGCUCCAAUAGCGUAUAUUAAAGUUGUUGCAGUUAAAAAGCUCGUAGUUGAAUUUCGGGAUCAGUAGGUCGGUCGUGCCACUGGUAUGAACUGGUCUCACUGGUUCCUCCCUCUUGACGAACUGCAAUGCUAUUAAUUUAGUGUUGUAGGAAAUCAGGACUGUUACUUUGAAAAAAUUAGAGUGUUUAAAGCAGGCUUUAGCUUGAAUACAUUAGCAUGGAAUAAUGAAAUAGGACGUUCGAUCCUAUUUUGUUGGCUUCUAGGAUUGACGUAAUGAUUAAUAGGGACAGUUGGGGGCAUUAGUAUUCAAUUGUCAGAGGUGAAAUUCUUGGAUUUAUUGAAGACUAACUACUGCGAAAGCAUUUGCCAAGGAUGUUUUCAUUAAUCAAGAACGAAAGUUAGGGGAUCGAAGACGAUCAGAUACCGUCGUAGUCUUAACCAUAAACUAUGCCGACUAGGGAUCGGAUGAUGUUAAUUUUUAAUGACUCAUUC
Molecule: ribosomal RNA, 510 nt
Filed under: uncultured Glomus
Lineage: Eukaryota; Fungi; Glomeromycota; Glomeromycetes; Glomerales; Glomeraceae
Description: SSU rRNA
Rfam family: Eukaryotic small subunit ribosomal RNA
Source: RNAcentral